CCUACGGUGGCAGCAGUCGAGAAUCAUUCACAAUGGGGGAAACCCUGAUGGUGCGACGCCGCGUGGGGGAAUGAAGGUCCUCGGAUUGUAAACCCCUGUCAUGUGGGAGCCAAUUAAAAAGAUAGUACCACAAGAGGAAGAGACGGCUAACUUUGUACCAGCAGCCGCGGUAAUACAGAGGUCUCAAGCGUUGUUCGGAAUCACUGGGCGUAAAGCGUUCGUAGGCGGUUUCGUAAGUCGUGUGUGAAAGGCGCGGGCUCAACCCGCGGACGGCACAUGAUACUGCGAGACUAGAGUAAUGGAGGGGGAAGCGGAAUGCGCGGUGUAGCAGUGAAAUGCGUAGAUAUCGAGAGGAACACUCGUGGCGAAGGCGGGUUCCUGGACAUAAACUGACGCUGAGGCACGAAGGCCAGGGUAGCGAAAGGGAUUAGAUACCCCAGUAGUC
Molecule: ribosomal RNA, 445 nt
Filed under: uncultured bacterium
Lineage: Bacteria
Description: partial 16S ribosomal RNA
Rfam family: Bacterial small subunit ribosomal RNA
Source: RNAcentral